This 300-nucleotide unclassified non-coding RNA is filed under the name Hevea brasiliensis (rubber tree). The record is from RNAcentral. Lineage: Eukaryota; Viridiplantae; Streptophyta; Magnoliopsida; Malpighiales; Euphorbiaceae.
GAAAGCAAGAAAAGCAAGGGAAAAGUAGACGAUGGCAUGGAAACCGACGAGGCCUCCAAAUGAGGUUCAGUCUCAGGGGCAUGCAUGCAUGCAUGCUUAAGUACUACUGUAUCAAAUAAUCUUAUAAGGAGUCGAUGAUCUUAUUUUAGCUACCUAUCUGUCCUCAACUCUCAAUAAGGACUAUUAGUGUUUGUUAGUACUGUGUCUGUUUGCUUAUGUUGGUAGCCAGAGAAAGACAAAGGUGUUUCUGAAAUAAUAAUCUGUUGGUUUGGAUUUGGUGAUGAGUAGUUGUUGUGGUCA